GUUGCUUGUGCUUUUAGUGUUAUCUAAAAAUCAAUUACCAAAUCAAGAUCAUAAAGAGAUAUCCCUGUAUUCUUCUAAGAAUGUUAUAGUCUUAGCUCUUAGUGUUUGAGGCACUUUGACUUAAUUUCUGUAGAUGGUGUGAGAUAGGGGCCCAGUUGCACUCCUUUGGAUGUCGUUAUCUGGCACCAUUUGUUGAAAAUAUGAUUCUUUCCCCCACUGAAUGGUCUUGGCACCGUUGUUGAAAAUCAAUUGAUCAUCGAGGUAUGAGUUUAUUUCUGGACUCUCGAUUCUAUUCCAUUGAUUUAUGUCUCUCCUUAUGAGGUAGGAGGUGGGACUUGACUCCAGAGGCAGGGCUCGGACACUGGACCAAAUUGAGGACUAGCUGAAACAGGGCUGGGGUGGAAUGAGCUUUCCGUAAGACACGCUCAUCAGUUGCCAUGUCAGUUUACCGUUGCCAUCGCAACACCAGGGGGUUAUCCCCCGUCUCUUCCAUGGCAUUGACUCGAUGACCCAAAAGUUAUUACCCAUUCCCUAGAAAUUUUUGCACAAAUCACCCCUUAAUCUGCAUGUGUUUAAAGUAGAUAUAAAUGACUGCAAAACUGCCCUGAGCUGCUAGUCUCUGCCAGAGCCCUGCUGUGCAGGAGUAAUCAGAGUUGUAACAGGGCUGGAGCUAUAACACUGCCCCUUCAAUAAAGCUGUUUUCUUCUACCAUUGGCUUGGCCUUGAAUUCUUUCCUGGGCAAAGCCAAGAACCUCAUGGGCUAAGUCUCACUUUGGGGCUCACUUGUCCAACAUUACUUAUGCCAGGACCACACUGUUCUGAUUACUGUAGCUUUGUAGUAAGUUUUGAAACUGGAAAGCGUGAAUCCUCCAACUUUGUUCUUUUUCAAGAUUGUUUUGGCUAUUUGGAACCUCUUGCAAUUCCAUGUGAAUUUUGAGAUCAGCUUGUCCAUUUCUGCAAAAAAAAUGGCUCUUAAAAUUUUGACAAGUGGCCGGGUGCAGUGGCUCACCGUCAUUUUCAAAUUCUCAUCUAAAUGUUUCAUCCAGAAGGGUUGGAUACAAAAGGGAUGGAAGCAUUUCACAGAAGAAACAUUUUUAUACAAGUUGACUAGAAACACACAUCACAUCCAGGAAUUGGUCAGGAUGAAAUUCUAAAUUUUCUUCUUUUUUUUUGUUUGUUACCAGCUUAUAUAUCAAGAAAAGAAGCGGGGCACGAUUGCUCAUGCCUGUAAUGCUAGCACUUUGGGAGGCCGAGGAGGCCGGAUCACCUGAGGUUGGGAGUUUGAGACCAGCCUGGCCAACAGAGUGAAACCCCGACUCUACUAAAAAAAUACAAAAAUUAGCCAGACGUGGAGGCGCGGGCCUGUAGUCCUAGGUACUUGGGAGGCUGAGGCAGGACAAUUGCUUGAACCUGGGAGGUAGAGGUUGCAGUGAGUCAAGAUGGCGCUACUGCACUCCAGCCUGGGCAACAGAGUGAGACCCUGUCUCAAAACAAACAAACAAACAAACAAACGAACAAACAAACAACAGAAAUCCUAAAUUUUCAAAAUGUUUUUCUAUAACCUCUUUCCCGAUCAUCAUCCAAUGAACUUCCUGCAAAAGCUCAAUCCCUUUCUGGGGACCGCUGCAUCAGUAAUCAAACUGCCUUCCUAAGGUGUGUGUUGUAGCAGGAGAGAAGUGGGGAAGUAGAGUCAGGCUACAGGCCACAGUUGCAACCUACAACUAAUCCAGAAAGUUGAGCACAAGGCAACAGAAAUGAGGCGUCUCCCAAGUGUCCAACCUGUCAGAAGCAGCCAGAGGGGUCACAGUCCCUGAGAGGUGCCCUCCUUGAACUUACAGCUUUUGGCAGGAAUCACAGGUUAGAAAUACAUUCGAUGGCCAGGCGCGGUGGCUCAUGCCUGCAAUCCCAG
Molecule: long non-coding RNA, 1909 nt
Filed under: Homo sapiens (human)
Lineage: Eukaryota; Metazoa; Chordata; Mammalia; Primates; Hominidae
Description: HSALNT0259665
Source: RNAcentral